This 76-nucleotide transfer RNA is filed under the name Patescibacteria group bacterium. RNAcentral's name for it is "tRNA-Pro". It matches the Rfam family "tRNA". From Rfam's summary of the family: Transfer RNA (tRNA) molecules are approximately 80 nucleotides in length. The record is from RNAcentral.
CGGGCCGUAGCACAGGUGGUAGCGCGCGUCGUUCGGGACGACGAGGUCGCGGGUUCGAGUCCCGCCGGCCCGACCA